This 24-nucleotide non-coding RNA is filed under the name Cricetulus griseus (Chinese hamster). The record is from RNAcentral. Lineage: Eukaryota; Metazoa; Chordata; Mammalia; Rodentia; Cricetidae.
CUCUGGAGCAGCUGAAGGACAGCG